This is a non-coding RNA of Canis lupus familiaris (dog), 104 nucleotides long. The record is from Rfam. Lineage: Eukaryota; Metazoa; Chordata; Mammalia; Carnivora; Canidae.
AGGAGGAACAGCCCCAGUGGCGGGGCCAGCUCUGGAGCCCUGGAUCAGCCCCCGCAGGAACUCCGGAGCUCUCGGUCUGCAGGGCCUGGAGGCUCCGGGGUGGG